UACGUAGGUGGCAAGCGUUGUCCGGAUUUACUGGGCGUAAAGGGCGUGCAGGCGGUCUGUUAAGUCUAGGGUGAAAGCUCCCGGCUCAACUGGGAGAGGUCCUUGGAUACUGGCGGACUUGAGGGAGGCAGAGGAAAGUGGAAUUCCCGGUGUAGUGGUGAUAUGCGUAGAUAUCGGGAGGAACACCAGUGGCGAAGGCGGCUUUCUGGGCCUUACCUGACGCUGAGACGCGAAAGCGUGGGGAGCGAACUGG
This 253-nucleotide ribosomal RNA is filed under the name uncultured bacterium. Its description in RNAcentral is "partial 16S ribosomal RNA". It matches the Rfam family "Bacterial small subunit ribosomal RNA", at positions 524 to 776 of the family's 1533-position model. The record is from RNAcentral.